This 428-nucleotide ribosomal RNA is filed under the name uncultured Enterobacteriaceae bacterium. Its description in RNAcentral is "bacterial SSU rRNA". It matches the Rfam family "Bacterial small subunit ribosomal RNA", at positions 355 to 774 of the family's 1533-position model. The record is from RNAcentral. Lineage: Bacteria; Pseudomonadati; Pseudomonadota; Gammaproteobacteria; Enterobacterales; Enterobacteriaceae.
UGGGGAAUAUUGCACAAUGGGCGCAAGCCUGAUGCAGCCAUGCCGCGUGUGUGAAGAAGGCCUUAGGGUUGUAAAGCACUUUCAGCGAGGAGGAAGGCAUCACACUUAAUACGUGUGGUGAUUGACGUUACUCGCAGAAGAAGCACCGGCUAACUCCGUGCCAGCAGCCGCGGUAAUACGGAGGGUGCAAGCGUUAAUCGGAAUUACUGGGCGUAAAGCGCACGCAGGCGGUUUGUUAAGUCAGAUGUGAAAUCCCCGCGCUUAACGUGGGAACUGCAUUUGAAACUGGCAAGCUAGAGUCUUGUAGAGGGGGGAUAGAAUUCCAGGUGUAGCGGUGAAAUGCGUAGAGAUCUGGAGGAAUACCGGUGGCGAAGGCGGCCCCCUGGACAAAGACUGACGCUCAGGUGCGAAAGCGUGGGGAGCAAACA